Molecule: ribosomal RNA, 468 nt
Filed under: uncultured bacterium
Lineage: Bacteria
Description: partial 16S ribosomal RNA
Rfam family: Bacterial small subunit ribosomal RNA
Source: RNAcentral
GACGAACGCUGGCGGCGUGCUUAACACAUGCAAGUCGAACGGAAAGGCCCUGCUUUUGUGGGGUGCUCGAGUGGCGAACGGGUGAGUAACACGUGAGUAACCUGCCCUUGACUUUGGGAUAACUUUAGGAAACUGGGGCUAAUACCGGAUAGGAGCUCCUGCUGCAUGGUGGGGGUUGGAAAGUUUCGGCGGUUGGGGAUGGACUCGCGGCUUAUCAGCUUGUUGGUGGGGUAGUGGCUUACCAAGGCUUUGACGGGUAGCCGGCCUGAGAGGGUGACCGGCCACAUUGGGACUGAGAUACGGCCCAGACUCCUACGGGAGGCAGCAGUGGGAAAUAUUGCACAAUGGGCGGAAGCCUGAUGCAGCAACGCCGCGUGCGGAAUGACGGCCUUCGGGUUGUAAACCGCUUUCGCCUGUGACGAAGCGUGAGUGACGGUAAUGGGUAAAGAAGCACCGGCUAACUACGUG